Molecule: long non-coding RNA, 1631 nt
Filed under: Musa acuminata (dwarf banana)
Lineage: Eukaryota; Viridiplantae; Streptophyta; Magnoliopsida; Zingiberales; Musaceae
Description: long non-coding RNA (MACU_LNC000679)
Source: RNAcentral
UGAGUGAGAGCAUAUCAUCCUUCAAGUGCUCUGAAGGUUACAUUAUGUGUGAAAGACUUCCCUUCCGCAAGGCGGAUGUACGAUGUUGCUAUACAUGUGCAUGUCGACGUCCUUACAAGACCUCCAACCUUCACACUGUGGAGUUGCACUUGCAAGUACUCAAGCACAAAAACCUAAGACAAUUUUACCCUCGGAUUGCUACUCCGACAAGGCCCCAAUAAUGUUCACGGAGGACAACGUGAGUUGAUCGUUUCCAUGCAAGUUGAUUUCGCCAUGUCUAAUCCACUCUUUCUUUUUCAACAUGAGAUGCUUCUGAUGAUAAGAACACCAAGAUCAGUAAACAUAAUAAGAUGGGUGUUUUGAAGGGCUGCUGCUGCUUCUUUCCCUAGCUCCGAGAAGUCCAUCUUGGAUGGAUGGCACACAAAGCUGUCUCAGUUCCUUGGAAGGCUGGAAAGCUGGCAGGAGUCUGAGGCCAAAACACUUGGGCUCUUCUUGCUUGCACUAUCACCAACAAAAAGCGAGGCAGAAAGUGUGGUGUCAUGCACUAGCCAGCCAGCCAGCCAGCCAGCCAAAAAAUUAUUUGACCUACUGGUGGUGGGGGGUCCUCAGCACCACCUCACAUUCUGGUGGCCACAGCCCAGUGGUGAGAGUGGGGUCCUGUCAUUGCCCUCACCAUGCAGAAUAAUGAGAGAGAAGGAAAAGGGAACAGUUGGAGCUUCUUUUGAGGAAAGAGAAGUACAGUAGACCACUCAAGGCACCUGGAGGCAGUUUCAGCAUUGUACAUCAAGGAUGGAUUUGAUGUGUUGAGGCUUUCAUCUCAGAUACUACUCUCAUCACUUGCACAGAGAGAGAGAGAGAGAGAGAGAGAGAGAGAGAGAGAGAAUGUGCAAAGAUAGAUAUGUUUAAUCCAACAAGUUAGAUCCUUGAGGCAUCAAGAACAUGAACCUGAGUAGAAGAAGAUGCCAUUAAACUUGGCCAGGACCCUGCUAGAGUUGGGUAGCAGAUGAAAUGUAGCAGUACGGCUGCUUCAUGCCAACAUGUGGGAUUACCAUGAGAAGAACAAACCUGUUGCUUCAGAUCUUUUUUCUCUUCAUACAUGGUAUUACGGUUCUUCUCUGUCAGAGAUCAGAUCUCAUUGCGAUGAGCUGCAUGAGGGAGAAAGAGCUCAAAACCGAAAACAUUCAGUACACUAAUCAACAUCCACAACAUAAAAUGUCAACCAUUUAUGUACCAGAAACAAAGUAAGUCAAGAUGCAUAUGGAUGGCUGCAUAAAACUUGCUCCUAGAGAGAGAGAGAGAGAGAUCACAGCUAUAUUUCUUGUGGCAACUGUGUAUGUAUGCUAUUUGUAAUCUUUCAACCCAAAAGAGCAUAAAAGGCAGAGCUCGUCAUCAUAUAUCUUGUUCAUGAUCAUGUGAGAGCAGUUGAUGCUCACAUGUUAUAUAAGAAAAUGAAUAGAAAUCAAUACUAUUAAAGCAAUAUAUCUUUAUUUGAGAUUCAAUAUGGAAGAGAGAGAGAGAGAGAGAGAGAGAGAGAGAAGCCCCAUCCAAAUAUUUCUCAGGGAUCUGACACAUCUGAACCCUAGAGAAUCUCAGCAGAGAGAAUGAGACUUACAUUGGAAACUAUUAUAAGC